RNAcentral lists this ribosomal RNA (468 nucleotides) under uncultured bacterium. RNAcentral describes it as "partial 16S ribosomal RNA". It matches the Rfam family "Bacterial small subunit ribosomal RNA", at positions 28 to 507 of the family's 1533-position model. The record is from RNAcentral.
GACGAACGCUGGCGGCGUGCUUAACACAUGCAAGUCGAACGGAAAGGCCCUGCUUUUGUGGGGUGCUCGAGUGGCGAACGGGUGAGUAACACGUGAGUAACCUGCCCUUGACUUUGGGAUAACUUCAGGAAACUGGGGCUAAUACCGGAUAGGAGCUCCUGCUGCAUGGUGGGGGUUGGAAAGUUUCGGCGGUGGGGGAUGGACUCGCGGCUUAUCAGCUUGUUGGUGGGGUAGUGGCUUACCAGGGCUUUGACGGGUAGCCGGCCUGAGAGGGUGACCGGCCACAUUGGGACUGAGAUACGGCCCAGACUCCUACGGGAGGCAGCAGUGGGGAAUAUUGCACAAUGGGCGGAAGCCUGAUGCAGCAACGCCGCGUGCGGGAUGACGGCCUUCGGGUUGUAAACCGCUUUCGCCUGUGACGAAGCGUGAGUGACGGUAAUGGGUAAAGAAGCACCGGCUAACUACGUG